This 463-nucleotide ribosomal RNA is filed under the name uncultured bacterium. RNAcentral's name for it is "bacterial SSU rRNA". It matches the Rfam family "Bacterial small subunit ribosomal RNA", at positions 28 to 475 of the family's 1533-position model. The record is from RNAcentral.
GACGAACGCUGGCGGCGUGCCUAAUACAUGCAAGUAGAACGCUGAAGGAGGAGCUUGCUCUUCUGGAUGAGUUGCGAACGGGUGAGUAACGCGUAGGUAACCUGCCUGGUAGCGGGGGAUAACUAUUGGAAACGAUAGCUAAUACCGCAUAAGAGUAGAUGUUGCAUGACAUUUGCUUAAAAGGUGCAAUUGCAUCGCUACCAGAUGGACCUGCGUUGUAUUAGUUAGUUGGUGAGGUAACGGCUCACCAAGGCGACGAUACAUAGCCGACCUGAGAGGGUGAUCGGCCACACUGGGACUGAGACACGGCCCAGACUCCUACGGGAGGCAGCAGUAGGGAAUCUUCGGCAAUGGACGGAAGUCUGACCGAGCAACGCCGCGUGAGUGAAGAAGGUUUUCGGAUCGCAAAGCUCUGUUGUAAGAGAAGAACGAGUGUGAGAGNGGAAAGUUCACACNGNGGCGG